Molecule: ribosomal RNA, 253 nt
Filed under: uncultured bacterium
Lineage: Bacteria
Description: partial 16S ribosomal RNA
Rfam family: Bacterial small subunit ribosomal RNA
Source: RNAcentral
UACGAAGGGGGCUAGCGCUGUUCGGAAUCACUGGGCGUAAAGCGUACGUAGGCGGAUCGUUAAGUCAGGGGUGAAAGCCUGGAGCUCAACUCCAGAACUGCCUUUGAUACUGGCGAUCUUGAGUUCGGGAGAGGUGAGUGGAACUGCGAGUGUAGAGGUGAAAUUCGUAGAUAUUCGCAAGAACACCAGUGGCGAAGGCGGCUCACUGGCCCGAUACUGACGCUGAGGCACGAAAGCGUGGGGAGCAAACAGG